UGGAACCUGGGAUUCAAGCCGCCAGGCAAAGUGCCCUAGCAGGGACUCUGGCUUAGUGAGAGUCUCUGUUUCCCCCUUUUCUUUCUUUCCACCCAAUAAAACCGGGUCUUACUCAUCAUUCAAAUUGUCUGCGAGCCUGAAUUUUUGUGGCCGUGGGACAAAGAACCCCGUCUUUAACGGAACUAAGGAAAAGCCCUGCAACAAUUUUGGCGCGCAACGUGGGGACUUGAGAAGCGGUUGAACUCUUUUGUGUCAACUAAAAGAACAUAUGAACAUAGCAGGGCUGUCAAGAUAAGGCCACAAGCUUGCCGAGUUGGGGACCUUUGAAAUACAAUUCUUACUGCCAUAGAACAUGAAGAUGCCUGGGAAUUACAAUAUCCAACCAUUUAAUUAUGUGAUGUCAUAAGAAAAUGGCUUUAUUUUUAUUUGUAGGACUGUGGAAUCAGUACCUUGUAUUUAUGGGUUUUUAAAUCUAAAGGCUUAUUAGAAAGCUAACAAUGGACCAGUUAACUUACUCAUUAUCAGUUGCACAUGAUAGCUAUACUGAGUGACUUUGAAGAAAGCUUGUGUUUUCAACAGAAUACAUUCUACUGUAAAAAUUCUGUCUGUAAAUGACACUUGCCAAGAUAAUUGCUAAUUGUAACUCAUCAAAAUAUGUGUCUGGUUCAAGAGCAACAUGUUUAUUACUCCGUAUAUAUUUAUUAUUUCUGUUGAAGCCAUCCUAGAGGGGCCCUCAACAUUAUUGCUUCUGCGUACAAUAGAACUUGACAUGUAAAAUUAAUCCCUUAAAGAUAUAUAUAAAUGAAUAACUAAAGCUGCAUAUAGGUGGAUUGGGACUGGUGAUUGAAAUGUAUCUGUUAUAAUUUAGUUAAGAUUUAGUCACUAUCUUAAGGAUAACAUGUUUGGCCGUGAGUAAAACAAGGUAGUGUGAAAUAAAACAGUAGGUCAGACUUGUUUCCUCCUUUCUUUCUACCCAUUCUCACAUUUGUCUCAUCUUAUAUUUAACUAAUUUUCCAG
RNAcentral lists this long non-coding RNA (1017 nucleotides) under Homo sapiens (human). Its description in RNAcentral is "HSALNT0148008". Lineage: Eukaryota; Metazoa; Chordata; Mammalia; Primates; Hominidae. The record is from RNAcentral.